UGGGGAAUUUUGGACAAUGGGCGCAAGCCUGAUCCAGCAAUGCCGCGUGCAGGAUGAAGGCCUUCGGGUUGUAAACUGCUUUUGUACGGAGCGAAAAGGCUUCCACUAAUACUGGGGGCUCAUGACGGUACCGUAAGAAUAAGCACCGGCUAACUACGUGCCAGCAGCCGCGGUAAUACGUAGGGUGCAAGCGUUAAUCGGAAUUACUGGGCGUAAAGCGUGCGCAGGCGGUCUUGUAAGACAGGUGUGAAAUCCCCGGGCUUAACCUGGGAACUGCACUUGUGACUGCAAGGCUGGAGUACGGCAGAGGGGGAUGGAAUUCCGCGUGUAGCAGUGAAAUGCGUAGAUAUGCGGAGGAACACCGAUGGCGAAGGCAAUCCCCUGGGCCUGUACUGACGCUCAUGCACGAAAGCGUGGGGAGCAAACAGGAUUAGAUACCCUGGUA
RNAcentral lists this ribosomal RNA (445 nucleotides) under uncultured bacterium. RNAcentral's name for it is "bacterial SSU rRNA". It matches the Rfam family "Bacterial small subunit ribosomal RNA", at positions 355 to 792 of the family's 1533-position model. The record is from RNAcentral.